GAGGCUGCUAACUGGACCAAGUCAAAAAAGGCACAAGUCUCUGUGAUUUUCUGGUCCUUAGAUAUGGCUCAGCUCCCCCUUCAGUGGGAGCUAAGAUGGGGCCAUGUUCCCUGGCAGAGCUCCAUACAUGGCUCACCCUCCCACUGGAACGCCUGAUUCCAGUUCAGCCCUUUACAAGACAUGCCAGGACCCUUUGUGUGCCAGGCUGGGCUGGGUAUGUGGGCAGAGUGGGACUGCUUCCUCAAGAUGUCAUUAUAGCUGGGAAUUGUGCCACUCGUCAGAGGUUGCAGCUGGGUGGUAUAGCAUUUCAUAAAGAAGCAUCAGCGAUAAUCAGCAUUAAAAGCAUCAGCAGAGCGGUAUUUCAAUGGCCAUUUUGUCAGACACAAGAAUAAAAGUCUUUGUUUUCUUC
Molecule: long non-coding RNA, 409 nt
Organism: Carassius auratus (goldfish)
Lineage: Eukaryota; Metazoa; Chordata; Actinopteri; Cypriniformes; Cyprinidae
Exons: 2
Source: RefSeq, a predicted model, not a curated record